Molecule: ribosomal RNA, 536 nt
Filed under: Dechloromonas sp. enrichment culture
Lineage: Bacteria; Pseudomonadati; Pseudomonadota; Betaproteobacteria; Rhodocyclales; Azonexaceae
Description: bacterial SSU rRNA
Rfam family: Bacterial small subunit ribosomal RNA
Source: RNAcentral
GAAUGGAGGAGGCAGGCUGAGGAUGCAUGGCGCGAGGGUGAAGAACGCCUUCUGGUUGUAAAGCUCUUUCCGCCGGGAAGAAAUCGCAUAGGUUAAUACCCUGUGUGGAUGACGGUACCGGAAUAAGAAGCACCGGCUAACUACGUGCCAGCAGCCGCGGUAAUACGUAGGGUGCGAGCGUUAAUCGGAAUUACUGGGCGUAAAGCGUGCGCAGGCGGUUUCGUAAGACAGAGGUGAAAUCCCCGGGCUCAACCUGGGAACUGCCUUUGUGACUGCGAAGCUAGAGUACGGCAGAGGGGGGUGGAAUUCCACGUGUAGCAGUGAAAUGCGUAGAGAUGUGGAGGAACACCGAUGGCGAAGGCAGCCCCCUGGGCCGAUACUGACGCUCAUGCACGAAAGCGUGGGUAGCAAACAGGAUUAGAUACCCUGGUAGUCCACGCCCUAAACGAUGUCAACUAGGUGUUGGGUGGGUAAAACCAUUUAGUACCGUAGCUAACGCGGAAGUUGACCGCCUGGGGAGUACGGCCGCAAGGUUA